ACCUCCGUGGCCGAGUGGGUAGGUAUCACGUUUGCAACGCCGGAGGUCCCGGGUUCGAUUCCCGGCGGGGUCG
RNAcentral lists this transfer RNA (73 nucleotides) under Diaphorina citri (Asian citrus psyllid). It matches the Rfam family "tRNA". From Rfam's summary of the family: Transfer RNA (tRNA) molecules are approximately 80 nucleotides in length. Their secondary structure includes four short double-helical elements and three loops (D, anti-codon, and T loops). Lineage: Eukaryota; Metazoa; Arthropoda; Insecta; Hemiptera; Psyllidae. The record is from Rfam by way of RNAcentral.